GCGAAAACUUUACAAUGCUGGCAACAGCGAUAAGGGAACCUCGCGUGCCAGGUUACAAAUCUGGCUGUCGAGAUGCCUAAAAAGCAUUUCAUAGCAAGGGCCGGGCAAGACCGGUGCCAGCCGCCGCGGUAACACCGGCGGCUCGAGUGGUAACCGUUAUUAUUGGGUCUAAAGUGUCUGUAGCCGGCCGGAUAAGUCUCUUGAGAAAUCUGGCAGCUUAACUGUCAGGCUUUCAGGAGAUACUGUCUGGCUCGAGGCCGGGAGAGGUGAGAGGUACUUCAGGGGUAGGGGUGAAAUCUUGUAAUCCUUGAAGGACCACCAGUGGCGAAUGCGUCUCACCAGAACGGACCUGACGGCAAGGGACGAAAGCUAGGGGCACGAACC
RNAcentral lists this ribosomal RNA (384 nucleotides) under uncultured prokaryote. RNAcentral's name for it is "bacterial SSU rRNA". It matches the Rfam family "Archaeal small subunit ribosomal RNA", at positions 341 to 725 of the family's 1478-position model. The record is from RNAcentral.